GACGAACUGUCCUAACGUUGUUCGGAAUCACUGGGCUUAAAGGGCGCGUAGGCGGUCCGCCAAGUCAGGGGUGAAAUCCUGCAGCUUAACUGUAGAAGUGCCUCUGAUACUGGCGGUCUUGAGGGAAAUAGGGGUGUGCGGAACUUCCAGUGGAGCGGUGAAAUGCGUUGAUAUUGGAAGGAACGCCGGAGGCGAAAGCGGCGCACUGGAUUUCUUCUGACGCUGAGGCGCGAAAGCUAGGGGAGCAAACAGG
RNAcentral lists this ribosomal RNA (253 nucleotides) under uncultured bacterium. RNAcentral's name for it is "partial 16S ribosomal RNA". It matches the Rfam family "Bacterial small subunit ribosomal RNA", at positions 524 to 776 of the family's 1533-position model. The record is from RNAcentral.